Molecule: small nucleolar RNA, 92 nt
Organism: Saimiri boliviensis boliviensis (Bolivian squirrel monkey)
Lineage: Eukaryota; Metazoa; Chordata; Mammalia; Primates; Cebidae
Gene: SNORD116
Rfam family: Small nucleolar RNA SNORD116
About the family: HBII-85 is a member of the C/D class of snoRNAs, which contain the C (UGAUGA) and D (CUGA) box motifs. HBII-85 is encoded in a tandemly repeated array with another C/D snoRNA, HBII-52, in the Prader-Willi syndrome (PWS) region of chromosome 15. Unlike most other snoRNAs, HBII-85 is expressed prevalently in the brain (but is absent in PWS patients) and lacks any significant complementarity with ribosomal RNA.
Source: Ensembl
GGUUCAGUGAUGACUUCCAUACGCGGAUUCUUCAGAAAACUAAACAAAAUCAGUGAAAACACUAUACUGUCGCCUUCUUCAAACUGAGGCUU